GUUGAUUGUUUCCAAAUAAAUAAUAAUUGUCCUCUGUAUUUUUCCCAUAUUUUUCCAUUAAGAAAGUUUUUAAUUUAAAUUAUCAAUAUGGUUAUGGGCUUUGUUCCAGAAUGUAAACAUUACAGUUAAAAGAAAACUUGUUCUUUUUUUCGUUUCCCAAAAGACCUAGUUCUUCUAAAGAAGUGGAGGUAUACCGAAGUGGAUUUCACUUGUGAGACGUGGAGACAGGAAUCCAAGUCCAUCUUCUUUGAUUUGUUCAUGUCACUUUAGUAAUGGGGACAAAAAAAAUAUGUCAACGUUAUUUGAACAUAAUGAAAACAAGCUAUUUUCGUUCUAAUCUCCAGAGAAAAAGAAGAAAAGGUGAUAAUAAUA
Long non-coding RNA from Sitophilus oryzae (rice weevil), 372 nucleotides. RefSeq lists it as uncharacterized. Lineage: Eukaryota; Metazoa; Arthropoda; Insecta; Coleoptera; Curculionidae. The record is from RefSeq and is a predicted model, not a curated record. The transcript has 3 exons.